GGGUUGUGGCUCAGUGGUAGAGUGCUUGCCUAGCAUGCAUGAGGCACUGGGUUGGAUCCCCAGCACCCCA
This 70-nucleotide transfer RNA is filed under the name Marmota monax (woodchuck). Its description in RNAcentral is "tRNA.Ala". It matches the Rfam family "tRNA". Rfam says of the family: Transfer RNA (tRNA) molecules are approximately 80 nucleotides in length. Their secondary structure includes four short double-helical elements and three loops (D, anti-codon, and T loops). Further hydrogen bonds mediate the characteristic L-shaped molecular structure. tRNAs have two regions of fundamental functional importance: the anti-codon, which is responsible for specific mRNA codon recognition, and the 3' end, to which the tRNAs corresponding amino acid is attached (by aminoacyl-tRNA synthetases). tRNAs cope with the degeneracy of the genetic code in two manners: having more than one tRNA (with a specific anti-codon) for a particular amino acid; and 'wobble' base-pairing, i.e. permitting non-standard base-pairing at the 3rd anti-codon position. The record is from RNAcentral. Lineage: Eukaryota; Metazoa; Chordata; Mammalia; Rodentia; Sciuridae.